RNAcentral lists this long non-coding RNA (596 nucleotides) under Anser cygnoides (Swan goose). RNAcentral's name for it is "lncRNA (ENSACDG00005008051.1)". The record is from RNAcentral. Lineage: Eukaryota; Metazoa; Chordata; Aves; Anseriformes; Anatidae.
AGUGGUUUAUACUGGGCCUUACUGGUUUAUACUGGUCCAUGCUGAUUUAUACUGGUCCAUACUGGUUUAUACUGGUACAUACUGGUCUGUACUGGGAACAUUGGUCUAUUUUUGUUUUUACUGGAAUCACCAGUCUGUAGGGGUUUGCACUGGUUUGUACCGGUCUGUACUGGUUUAUAGUGGUUUAUACUGGGCCUUACUGGUUUAUACUGGUCCAUGCUGAUUUAUACUGGUCCAUACUGGUUUAUACUGGUACAUACUGGUCUGUACUGGGUACAUUGGUCUGUUGUGGUUUUUGGUGGGAUCACCAGUUUGUAGUGGUUUGUGCUGGUUUGUACUGGUCUGUACUGGUUUAUAGUGGUUUAUACUGGGCCUUACUGGUUUAUACUGGUCCACACUGGUUUAUACUGGUUUAUACUGGUUUAUACUGGUCUCUGUGCCCCCCCAGAGUUGCAGACGGGCCCCCCCACCCCAGACCCUGCCAGCACCGAGAGCAGCGGGAUGGCCUGGGCGUCCCCCAGCCCAUCGACCACGGAGGAGGACCCGGCGCCAAAGGCGGUGACAGAGUGCGGUGUGUGGGGUCGGGGGUUACGGGG